CGGAGUAUAGCGCAGCCCGGUAGCGCACCUGUCUGGGGGACAGGGGGUCGCAGGUUCAAGUCCUGCUACUCCGA
Molecule: non-coding RNA, 74 nt
Organism: Methylobacterium sp. Leaf99
Lineage: Bacteria; Pseudomonadati; Pseudomonadota; Alphaproteobacteria; Hyphomicrobiales; Methylobacteriaceae
Source: Rfam